GCUGUGUUGCCAGAGUGGUUAAUGGGUAAGACUUGAAUUGUUUAUAAUUUGGUCAUCUUAUGGUUUCGGCCUCGUAGGUUCAAAUCCUGCACACAGCG
Molecule: transfer RNA, 98 nt
Filed under: Pseudogymnoascus sp. VKM F-3808
Lineage: Eukaryota; Fungi; Ascomycota; Leotiomycetes; Thelebolales; Thelebolaceae
Also listed under: 2 other names
Rfam family: tRNA
About the family: Transfer RNA (tRNA) molecules are approximately 80 nucleotides in length. Their secondary structure includes four short double-helical elements and three loops (D, anti-codon, and T loops).
Source: Rfam by way of RNAcentral